GCAGCACGGACUUCGGUCUGGUGGCGAGUGGCGAACGGGUGAGUAACAUAUCGGAACGUAUCCAAUAAUGGGGGAUAACUAAUCGAAAGGUUGGCUAAUACCGCAUACGCCCUACGGGGGAAAGCUAGGGACCUUCGGGCCUGGCGUUAAUGGAGCGGCCGAUAUCUGAUUAGCUAGUUGGUGGGGUAAAGGCCCACCAAGGCGACGAUCAGUAGCUGGUCUGAGAGGACGACCAGCCACACUGGAACUGAGACACGGUCCAGACUCCUACGGGAGGCAGCAGUGGGGAAUUUUGGACAAUGGGCGCAAGCCUGAUCCAGCCAUUCCGCGUGAGUGAAGAAGGCCUUCGGGUUGUAAAGCUCUUUCGCAAGGGAAGAACACUUAGCCACUAACAUUGGCUGAGGUUGACGGUACCUUGAUAAGAAGCACCGGCUAACUACGUGCCAGCAGCCGCGGUAAUACGUAGGGUGCGAGCGUUAAUCGGAAUUACUGGGCGUAAAGCGUGCGCAGGCGGUUUUGUAAGUCAGAUGUGAAAUCCCCGAGCUCAACUUGGGAACUGCGUUUGAAACUACAAGACUAGAAUAUGUCAGAGGGGGGUAGAAUUCCACGUGUAGCAGUGAAAUGCGUAGAGAUGUGGAGGAAUACCAAUGGCGAAGGCAGCCCCCUGGGAUAAUAUUGACGCUCAUGCACGAAAGCGUGGGGAGCAAACAGGAUUAGAUACCCUGGUAGUCCACGCCCUAAACGAUGUCUACUAGUUGUUGGUGGAGUAAAAUCCAUGAGUAACGCAGCUAACGCGUGAAGUAGACCGCCUGGGGAGUACGGUCGCAAGAUUAAAACUCAAAUGAAUUGACGGGGGCCCGCACAAGCGGUGGAUUAUGUGGAUUAAUUCGAUGCAACGCGAAAAACCUUACCUGGNNUUGAC
This 922-nucleotide ribosomal RNA is filed under the name uncultured bacterium. RNAcentral describes it as "bacterial SSU rRNA". It matches the Rfam family "Bacterial small subunit ribosomal RNA", at positions 69 to 985 of the family's 1533-position model. The record is from RNAcentral.